This 429-nucleotide ribosomal RNA is filed under the name Verrucomicrobiota bacterium. RNAcentral describes it as "Verrucomicrobia bacterium partial 16S ribosomal RNA". It matches the Rfam family "Bacterial small subunit ribosomal RNA", at positions 355 to 776 of the family's 1533-position model. The record is from RNAcentral. Lineage: Bacteria; Pseudomonadati; Verrucomicrobiota.
UAGGGAAUCUUCGGCAAUGGGGGGAACCCUGACCGAGCAACGCCGCGUGAGUGAAGAAGGUUUUCGGAUCGUAAAGCUCUGUUGUUAAGGAAGAACGAGUGUGAGAAUGGAAAGUUCAUGCUGUGACGGUACUUAACCAGAAAGGGACGGCUAACUACGUGCCAGCAGCCGCGGUAAUACGUAGGUCCCGAGCGUUGUCCGGAUUUAUUGGGCGUAAAGCGAGCGCAGGCGGUUAGAAAAGUCUGAAGUGAAAGGCAGUGGCUCAACCAUUGUAGGCUUUGGAAACUGUUUAACUUGAGUGCAGAAGGGGAGAGUGGAAUUCCAUGUGUAGCGGUGAAAUGCGUAGAUAUAUGGAGGAACACCGGUGGCGAAAGCGGCUCUCUGGUCUGUAACUGACGCUGCGGCUCGAAAGCGUGGGGAGCGAACAGG